AUUGAACGCUGGCGGCAUGCUUUACACAUGCAAGUCGAACGGUAACAGGCCGCAAGGUGCUUACGACUGGCGGCCGGUGGAGUACUGCUUCGGAACGCGUCCGGACGUAGUGGAUAAUUAGUCGAAAGAGUAGCUAAUACACCCUACGAUCUCUUGAUGAAAACGGGGGACCGUAAGGCCUCUUCGGAUCUUGCCCGCCGAUGUCAGAUUAGGUAGUUGGUGGGGUAAAGGCUCACCAAGCCCACGAUCUGUAGCUGGUCUGAGAGGACGACCAGCCACACUGGGACUGAGACACGGCCCAGACUCCUACGGGAGGCAGCAGUGGGGAAUUUUGGACAAUGGGCGCAAGCCUGAUCCAGCAAUGCCGCGUGCGGGAAGAAGGCCUUCGGGUUGUAAACUGCUUUUGUACGGAACGAAACGGAGCUGGUUAAUACCCGGGGGUAAUGACGGUACCGAAAGAAUAAGCACCGGCUAACUACGUG
RNAcentral lists this ribosomal RNA (482 nucleotides) under uncultured bacterium. RNAcentral's name for it is "partial 16S ribosomal RNA". It matches the Rfam family "Bacterial small subunit ribosomal RNA", at positions 30 to 507 of the family's 1533-position model. The record is from RNAcentral.